This 602-nucleotide ribosomal RNA is filed under the name Vishniacozyma victoriae. RNAcentral's name for it is "partial large subunit ribosomal RNA". It matches the Rfam family "Eukaryotic large subunit ribosomal RNA", at positions 38 to 630 of the family's 3401-position model. The record is from RNAcentral. Lineage: Eukaryota; Fungi; Basidiomycota; Tremellomycetes; Tremellales; Bulleribasidiaceae.
GCAUAUCAAUAAGCGGAGGAAAAGAAACUAACUAGGAUUCCCUUAGUAACGGCGAGUGAACCGGGAUGAGCUCAAAUUUAAAAUCUGGCGUCUUUCAGGCGUCCGAGUUGUAAUCUAUAGAGGCGUUUUCCGCGCCGGACCGCGUCCAAGUCUCUUGGAAUAGAGUAUCAAAGAGGGUGACAAUCCCGUACUUGACGCGACAACCGGUGCUCUGUGAUACGUUCUCAAUGAGUCGAGUUGUUUGGGAAUGCAGCUCUAAAUGGGUGGUAAAUUCCAUCUAAGGCUAAAUAUUGGCGAGAGACCGAUAGCGAACAAGUACCGUGAGGGAAAGAUGAAAAGCACUUUGGAAAGAGAGUUAAACAGCACGUGAAAUUGUUAAAAGGGAAACGAUUGAAGUCAGUCGUGUGAAAGGUAUUCAGCCGUCUCUGGCGGUGUAUUUGCCUUUCACGGGUCAACAUCAGUUUGAUCCGGUAGAAAAAGGCGGGAGGAAGGUGGCACCCUCGGGUGUGUUAUAGCCUCCUGUCAUAUGUGCCGGACCAGACUGAGGAACGCAGCUUGCCGCAAGGCCGGGGUUCGCCCACGUACAAGCUUAGGAUGUUGAC